This is a small nucleolar RNA of Cricetulus griseus (Chinese hamster), 132 nucleotides long. Ensembl annotates it as small nucleolar RNA SNORA64/SNORA10 family. NCBI's taxonomy places the organism in Eukaryota, Metazoa, Chordata, Mammalia, Rodentia, Cricetidae. The record is from Ensembl.
ACUCUCUCACUCUGCAUAGUUACACUAGGUUUCACCCGUGUGACUUUCGUACCGGGAGAGAGAGAAAUGAGUUCCUCAGUACCUUUGAUUGGCCUCACAGUGGCCUCUCUUUCCUAGAGGAGCACCACAGUU